GCCAAAUGAUGUGAAGUAGAUAGCAGUAGCACUCUGCAAAGAUGACCUUCAUCUAUCACCCCAUACUGAUGGCU
Molecule: small nucleolar RNA, 74 nt
Filed under: Pelecanus crispus (Dalmatian pelican)
Lineage: Eukaryota; Metazoa; Chordata; Aves; Pelecaniformes; Pelecanidae
Description: Small nucleolar RNA SNORD83
Rfam family: Small nucleolar RNA SNORD83
About the family: U83 (SNORD83) and U84 (SNORD84) are members of the C/D class of snoRNA which contain the C (UGAUGA) and D (CUGA) box motifs. They act as guanine methylation guides but lack complementarity to ribosomal RNA.
Source: Rfam by way of RNAcentral